CACUGAUGUAAAAAAGAAUAGAACACUUGGGAAUUAAUCUAACUAAGGUGGUAAGGGACCUGUACUUGGGAAACUGUAAGACACUGUUGAAACAAAUUGAAGACUACACAAACAGAUGGAAAUAUAUUCCAUGCUUAUGGAUUUGAAGAAUUAAUACUGUUAAAAUGAUGAUACUACUCAAGGC
Vicugna pacos (alpaca) is the source of this 184-nucleotide non-coding RNA. The record is from RefSeq and is a predicted model, not a curated record. NCBI's taxonomy places the organism in Eukaryota, Metazoa, Chordata, Mammalia, Artiodactyla, Camelidae.